AAGGAUCCUGUGAAGGGAAGAGUAGUUAGGAAACGGAUAGCCAGAGAGGGGAUGAAUAGGCUGAGAUCAUCUCUCUAUUACGACCUAAGGAAAGACAUCCUAGAGGACUCUUGGUGAAAAUGUUUGGAAGUAACCAAGUAGCGUUUACCAACGUUAAUGGGAAUGAAGUGGGAUUUUAUCCAAAAAGGGUGGUACCACGGGUGAUCUUCGUAUCUCUCGUCCCUGAU
Molecule: non-coding RNA, 227 nt
Filed under: Tepidibacillus sp.
Lineage: Bacteria; Bacillati; Bacillota; Bacilli; Caryophanales; Bacillaceae
Description: T-box sequence
Rfam family: T-box leader
About the family: Uncharged tRNA acts as the effector for transcription antitermination of genes in the T-box leader family.
Source: RNAcentral